Molecule: ribosomal RNA, 425 nt
Filed under: uncultured bacterium
Lineage: Bacteria
Description: partial 16S ribosomal RNA
Rfam family: Bacterial small subunit ribosomal RNA
Source: RNAcentral
GUGGGGAAUAUUGCACAAUGGGGGAAACCCUGAUGCAGCGACGCCGCGUGGAGGAAGAAGGUCUUCGGAUUGUAAACUCCUGUUGUUGAGGAAGAUAAUGACGGUACUCAACAAGGAAGUGACGGCUAACUACGUGCCAGCAGCCGCGGUAAAACGUAGGUCACAAGCGUUGUCCGGAAUUACUGGGUGUAAAGGGAGCGCAGGCGGGAGAACAAGUUGGAAGUGAAAUCCAUGGGCUCAACCCAUGAACUGCUUUCAAAACUGUUUUUCUUGAGUAGUGCAGAGGUAGGCGGAAUUCCCGGUGUAGCGGUGGAAUGCGUAGAUAUCGGGAGGAACACCAGUGGCGAAGGCGGCCUACUGGGCACCAACUGACGCUGAGGCUCGAAAGUGUGGGUAGCAAACAGGAUUAGAAACCCUAGUAGUCC